UGUUUUAGUACUUACUAGUUUACAACUCUUCUAAACUCAUUUUAUCUAAUCUCAUCUAAUCAUUACAUCUUUUUCAAAUUUUCACACAAAAUAAAUAAACAAUUCAACUUUUUCAAAUUUUAAAAUAAAAAUAAUAUUAAAAAAUAUAUUCUAAGAAUAUUUUAUUCAACUUUAAAUUUUCAUCUCAACUCAUCUCAUCUGUGAAAACAAACGAGUUGAAACUUGAGCAAAUAAGAAAUCCUGUUGGAGCCAAAACUUUUCCUUUCAUAUGUUUUCCAUUUACCUUUUUCUAAAUAACUGUGUUGUAGUAUAAAAGUAUUAUUUUUUUGGAUAAGGAGAAAAUCUUGAAACCAUAUUUUGCCUUUAAAAACAAAAUCUUUGAACCAUGUUUAAUCAACUUAAUAUUUACCCAUCACAGACCUUUUCUUUCUGGAACCAUGUAGCUAAUACUUACUUUUGGAAUGUAGGGAGCUGUUAACUUUGCGCUAAUGAUGUCUCAAAUGGAGGGAGGUUGUCGAGUUAUAUCAUAACAGAUUUCUUUCUUCAGAAGAACCUGAUCAGUGAGGCAACGGCUUUUCUAUUAGAUGUUUUGAAGCCAAAUCUUCCUGAACAUAGUUUCCUUCAAACAAAGGUUUUGAUUCACGCUUUCUUUGUUAAUGCUAUCUAACUUCUAUUUGGAUAGUUGCUGCUCUUUUCAGUCAUUGUAACAUUUUUAUUUUAUAUAGGUCCUGGAAAUCAAUCUGUUAACUUUUUCAAAUGUAGCUGACGCUAUUGAACAAUUGGGUGUGCUUGAGAUAAGUGAAUAUAUAUUUGAUUGAAUAUAAUUAUUGGUGGACAGGUUUGGGUCUGCUUUUGCAAA
Molecule: long non-coding RNA, 859 nt
Organism: Juglans microcarpa x Juglans regia
Lineage: Eukaryota; Viridiplantae; Streptophyta; Magnoliopsida; Fagales; Juglandaceae
Exons: 2
Source: RefSeq, a predicted model, not a curated record